This 253-nucleotide ribosomal RNA is filed under the name uncultured bacterium. RNAcentral describes it as "partial 16S ribosomal RNA". It matches the Rfam family "Bacterial small subunit ribosomal RNA", at positions 524 to 776 of the family's 1533-position model. The record is from RNAcentral.
UACGUAGGGUGUGAGCGUUAAUCGGAAUUACUGGGCGUAAAGCGUGCGCAGGCGGUUCGUUGUGUCGGCGGUGAAAGCCCCGGGCUUAACCUGGGAAUGGCCGUUGAAACUGGCGAACUGGAGUGUGGCAGAGGGGGGUGGAAUUCCGCGUGUAGCAGUGAAAUGCGUAGAGAUGUGGAGGAAUACCGAUGGCGAAGGCAGCCCCCUGGGCCAAUACUGACGCUCAUGCACGAAAGCGUGGGGAGCAAACAGG